This 253-nucleotide ribosomal RNA is filed under the name uncultured bacterium. Its description in RNAcentral is "partial 16S ribosomal RNA". It matches the Rfam family "Bacterial small subunit ribosomal RNA", at positions 524 to 776 of the family's 1533-position model. The record is from RNAcentral.
UACGUAGGGUGCGAGCGUUAAUCGGAAUUACUGGGCGUAAAGCGUGCGCAGGCGGUUAUGUAAGACAGGUGUGAAAUCCCCGGGCUUAACCUGGGAACUGCGCUUGUGACUGCAUAACUCGAGUGUGGCAGAGGGGGGCGGAAUUCCGCGUGUAGCAGUGAAAUGCGUAGAGAUGUGGAGGAACACCGAUGGCGAAGGCAGCCCCCUGGGUCAACACUGACGCUCAUGCACGAAAGCGUGGGGAGCAAACAGG